Molecule: ribosomal RNA, 253 nt
Filed under: uncultured bacterium
Lineage: Bacteria
Description: partial 16S ribosomal RNA
Rfam family: Bacterial small subunit ribosomal RNA
Source: RNAcentral
UACGAAGGGGGCUAGCGUUGUUCGGAAUUACUGGGCGUAAAGCGCGCGCAGGCGGCUAUCCAAGUCAGUGGUGAAAGCCCGGAGCUCAACUCCGGAACUGCCAUUGAAACUGUUUAGCUUUAGGACGAGAGAGGUGAGUGGAAUUCCCAGUGUAGAGGUGAAAUUCGUAGAUAUCGGGAAGAACACCAGUGGCGAAGGCGCUCUACUGGGCCACAACUGACGCUGAGGGACGAAAGCUAGGGGAGCGAAAGGG